RNAcentral lists this ribosomal RNA (549 nucleotides) under uncultured Glomeromycotina. RNAcentral's name for it is "SSU rRNA". It matches the Rfam family "Eukaryotic small subunit ribosomal RNA", at positions 548 to 1098 of the family's 1831-position model. The record is from RNAcentral. Lineage: Eukaryota; Fungi; Glomeromycota.
UUGGAGGGCAAGUCUGGUGCCAGCAGCCGCGGUAAUUCCAGCUCCAAUAGCGUAUAUUAAAGUUGUUGCAGUUAAAAAGCUCGUAGUUGAAUUUCGGGGUUAGUAGGUUGGUCAUGCCUCUGGUAUGUACUGGUCUCACUGAUUCCUCUUUCCUGAUGAACCUUAAUGCCAUUAAUUUGGUGUUUUGGGGAAUUUGGACUGUUACUUUGAAAAAAUUAGAGUGUUUAAAGCAAGCUAACGCUUGAAUACAUCAGCAUGGAAUAAUGAAAUAGGACGUUCGAUCCUAUUUUGUUGGUUUCUAGGAUUGACGUAAUGAUUAAUAGGGAUAGUUGGGGGCAUUAGUAUUCAAUUGUCAGAGGUGAAAUUCUUGGAUUUAUUGAAGACUAACUACUGCGAAAGCAUUUGCCAAGGAUGUUUUCAUUAAUCAAGAACGAAAGUUAGGGGAUCGAAGACGAUCAGAUUCCGUCGUAGUCUUAACCAUAAACUAUGCCGACUAGGGAUCGGAUGAUGUUAAUUUUUUAAUGACUCAUUCGGCGCCUUACGGGAAAC